Molecule: signal recognition particle RNA, 196 nt
Filed under: Mesocricetus auratus (golden hamster)
Lineage: Eukaryota; Metazoa; Chordata; Mammalia; Rodentia; Cricetidae
Description: Metazoan signal recognition particle RNA
Rfam family: Metazoan signal recognition particle RNA
About the family: The signal recognition particle (SRP) is a universally conserved ribonucleoprotein. It is involved in the co-translational targeting of proteins to membranes.
Source: Rfam by way of RNAcentral
CUGUAGUGCGCUACGCCAAUCAGGUGUCAGCACUAAGUCCGGCAUUGAUAUGGUGACCUCCCGGGAGCGGCGGGGGCUUGGGGGGGGGGGCACCAGGUUCCUAAGGAGGGGUGAACCAGCCCAGGUCAGAAACAGAGCAGGUCAAAACUCCCGUGCUGAUCAGUAGCGGGGUCGCACCUGUGAAUAGCCACUGCAG